UACGUAGGGACCGAGCGUUGUCCGGAAUCAUUGGGCGUAAAGAGCGUGUAGGCGGCCUUUUAAGUCCUGCGUGAAAUCCUGCGGCUCAACCGCAGACGGUCGUGGGAAACUGGAAGGCUAGAGUGCGGGAGAGGAGAGUGGAAUUCCCGGUGUAGCGGUGAAAUGCGCAGAUAUCGGGAGGAACACCGAUGGCGAAGGCAGGUCUCUGGGCCACUACUGACGCUGAGAAGCGAAAGCAUGGGGAGCGAACAGG
RNAcentral lists this ribosomal RNA (253 nucleotides) under uncultured bacterium. RNAcentral's name for it is "partial 16S ribosomal RNA". It matches the Rfam family "Bacterial small subunit ribosomal RNA", at positions 524 to 776 of the family's 1533-position model. The record is from RNAcentral.